GUGACACAUGUCAUUUAUUUGAAAGGGGCAAUUGUUCCACUACAAGAUGGACCUGCGUUGUAUUAGCUAGUAGGUGAGGUAAUGGCUCACCUAGGCGACGAUACAUAGCCGACCUGAGAGGGUGAUCGGGCCACAUUGGGACUGAGACACGGCCCAGACUCCUACGGGAGGCAGCAGUGGGGAACUCUUCCGCAAUGGACGAAAGUCUGACGGAGCAACGCCGCGUGAGUGAUGACGGCCUUCGGGUUGUAAAGCUCUGUUAAUCGGGACGAAAGGCCUUCUUGCGAAUAGUGAGAAGGAUUGACGGUACCGGAAUAGAAAGCCACGGCUAACUACGUGCCAGCAGCCGCGGUAAUACGUAGGUGGCAAGCGUUGUCCGGAAUUAUUGGGCGUAAAGCGCGCGCAGGCGGAUAGGUCAGUCUGUCUUAAAAGUUCGGGGCUUAACCCCGUGAUGGGAUGGAAACUGCCAAUCUAGAGUAUCGGAGAGGAAAGUGGAAUUCCUAGUGUAGCGGUGAAAUGCGUAGAUAUUAGGAAGAACAC
RNAcentral lists this ribosomal RNA (540 nucleotides) under uncultured bacterium. RNAcentral's name for it is "bacterial SSU rRNA". It matches the Rfam family "Bacterial small subunit ribosomal RNA", at positions 183 to 709 of the family's 1533-position model. The record is from RNAcentral.